CUUACAGACUUCUUUGGCAUUCUGUCCACCUCCUUCUAUGUAUACAAGUUUAUGUAUAUACAUGGUGUUUGAAAGAGGGAGGUGGUCAUACUGUCAACAGAUAUCUGUUAG
Molecule: non-coding RNA, 111 nt
Organism: Brassica napus (rape)
Lineage: Eukaryota; Viridiplantae; Streptophyta; Magnoliopsida; Brassicales; Brassicaceae
Source: Rfam